CAGGAUCUUCUCAGGCAGUUGGAGUUACAAAAGAUACUGCAGUGGGUUUGACUGAAAAUGAUGUAUCCAAAGUUGACCCUUAUGCUUCUAGCAGACCACCUGUUGGUCCAAGUGGGGCAGGACAUGAUUAUUAUCAAGCAUCUGGAACUCAUAGGAGCAGUCAGUCGUUCGAUCAUGAAAGUCCUUCUAGUUUGGACAAGCACAAACUUAUAUGGUCAGUUAGCACAAAAACGUUGCCAUGAAAUAUAGUGUCUUGCUUUGAUUGUUUAAAAGAACUGUUUUGGGCGUGAGUGGAAAUUAAGCAUUAUAAGAUGAGUAGAUGUUUUGAUUUCAGCUGCAAAUUACAAUGGCAGGAACAAACUUUUGACUUUUGAUAUGCAGAAAUUAGUCUCUUUAUUUAAUUAUUCUUACAAAUUUUGUAGGUGAAAUGAGAUGGCGUCUUCACAGCCUUCACAUAAUGUUGAAUUCGAGGCUGCAAAGUUUUUGCAGAAACUUAUUCAAGACUCUAAAGAUGAACCAGCAAAAUUGGCUACAAAACUCUAUGUGGUGCGGAAAUUAUUCACCUGAUAAAUAUUCUUUAUUGUUUUCUCUACUUGUGAAUUUUAAUACCAUUCAUGCUUCUAAUUGUCAUGUACGCAUGAUUCAGAUAUUGCAACACAUGAAAUCAAGUGGGAAGGAACAUUCAAUGCCAUAUCAAGUAAUAUCAAGGUGAAAUCUUUAACUUUGUUAGAUUUUUUUUUUGUUUUAUUUAUUUAUUUAGUUUUAAAUUUUUAUGCUGCUUUGACAUUUGUAAUUUUUUUAUGCUAAUGAGGUGAGAGGGCAAGUUGUGUAAAUCUGAGUCUUGAGAGAUUUAUUUUUCUUCUCAUGUGAGGCGGAUUUACUGAAUCAUGCUAAACGAGAUAAUAAUCGAGGCAUUUAAUUAUGUUGGGAUAAGUGUGGUUCCCUAGCAAGGCCUUGCAUGAAGUCUCCUCAGUCCAACUUUAUGAGGGUGCACUUGUUUUUAUGAACCUUUUCAAUAUAAUGAAAAUUAAAGCAUGAUAAUUUACUUUUUUACAAUGAAAUUAGAAGAUUGUAUUAUUUUGGUGUGGAACAAGUGGCGGUGCUAAUAUAUGUAAUUUAUUUUGACUCUUAAUAUCAUCUCGUUAUGUGAUCAGGACUUGAAGAUUCCAUUGGCAUAUGCAUGGUGGAAACAUAAGAUUAAUUACUUAUGGUGUUUUACCAAGUUUUUGAGCCUCUAAGUUAAUUUCAAAUUAAGUUUGUCCAUAUGAUGCAGUGUACACAGAAAUGUUCUGUUUGUUAAAAAUUAAGUUUAAUUAGAAUUAUCGUGUAAAAAAAAGACUUAAAUAGAACAGAAUAUGUGGAUAGUCACUGUUAUAAAUGCAUGCUUGCAGCAUAAUAUGUACCUAUUUUAUGAUGGAUUUGCAUAAUGAGGAUGUUUCAUCACUGCAAUAUAAAUUGUAGUUCUAUCAACUUGUUAACGUGGACGUUUUUCAUCCAUGGUGGUUUAUUUGAUUCGAGUUUUGUUAUUUAAGGGCCAUGGAGACUGUCAUCAACCAGCAUGGUCUUGAUAUUGAGGCAUUGAUGUCAUCCCGCCUUCCUUUGACAGGUGGAACUCAAAUGGGUGACUCUGCAGGUAAUUGUUAACAGUGAUGUUCUCCAGUUUGUUUUUGGUUUUCUUAUAUCUUUUAUGGUGACACAAUUGCGCAUGAUCAUAAUUAAACCUAAUGGAUCUUUCUUUCUUUCCAUUUUUUUUUUGUUUUUUUGGAGAUUGCUAAUAUACAUUUCAUUUAUCAUGAACAAAUGGGAACCCCACCAUGCAGGAUCUUCUCAGGCAGUUGGAGUUACAAAAGAUACUGCAGUGGGUUUGACUGAAAAUGAUGUAUCCAAAGUUGACCCUUAUGCUUCUAGCAGACCACCUGUUGGUCCAAGUGGGGCAGGACAUGAUUAUUAUCAAGCAUCUGGAACUCAUAGGAGCAGUCAGUCGUUCGAUCAUGAAAGUCCUUCUAGUUUGGACACUAGGUCUGCCAACUCUCAAUCCCA
Molecule: long non-coding RNA, 2040 nt
Filed under: Jatropha curcas
Lineage: Eukaryota; Viridiplantae; Streptophyta; Magnoliopsida; Malpighiales; Euphorbiaceae
Description: long non-coding RNA (JCUR_LNC000986)
Source: RNAcentral